GAUGAACGCUGGCGGCGUGCCUAAUACAUGCAAGUAGAACGCUGAAGGAAGGAGCUUGCUCUUUCCGGAUGAGUUGCGAACGGGUGAGUAACGCGUAGGUAACCUGCCUGGUAGCGGGGGAUAACUAUUGGAAACGAUAGCUAAUACCGCAUAACAGUAGAUGUUGCAUGAUAUCUACUUAAAAGGUGCAAUUGCACCACUACCAGAUGGACCUGCGUUGUAUUAGCUAGUUGGUGAGGUAACGGCUCACCAAGGCGACGAUACAUAGCCGACCUGAGAGGGUGAUCGGCCACACUGGGACUGAGACACGGCCCAGACUCCUACGGGAGGCAGCAGUAGGGAAUCUUCGGCAAUGGACGGAAGUCUGACCGAGCAACGCCGCGUGAGUGAAGAAGGUUUUCGGAUCGUAAAGCUCUGUUGUAAGAGAAGAACGAGUGUGAGAGUGGAAAGUUCACACUGUGACAGUAUCUUACCAGAAAGGGACGGCUAACUACGUG
Molecule: ribosomal RNA, 497 nt
Filed under: uncultured bacterium
Lineage: Bacteria
Description: partial 16S ribosomal RNA
Rfam family: Bacterial small subunit ribosomal RNA
Source: RNAcentral